AAUAAGUUCAUUUUUCAAUUUUUUGAUAUAAUGUUUUGACUCUUCGUUUUAUUUGAAUUUUUUUUCGAUUAAUAUUUUUAUUCUUACUAAAUAAUAAAAUAUGAAUAAUACUUUAUGCGUGACUAAACUUUUUAAGUUUUUGUACAAAUUUUUCAAAUAAGACGAAUGAUCAAAUGUUGGACACGGGAAAAC
This 192-nucleotide microRNA precursor is filed under the name Oryza brachyantha (malo sina). RNAcentral's name for it is "MIR812 microRNA precursor family". It matches the Rfam family "MIR812 microRNA precursor family". The record is from Rfam by way of RNAcentral. Lineage: Eukaryota; Viridiplantae; Streptophyta; Magnoliopsida; Poales; Poaceae.